RNAcentral lists this ribosomal RNA (250 nucleotides) under uncultured bacterium. RNAcentral describes it as "partial 16S ribosomal RNA". It matches the Rfam family "Bacterial small subunit ribosomal RNA", at positions 524 to 773 of the family's 1533-position model. The record is from RNAcentral.
UACGUAGGGCGCGAGCGUUGUCCGGAAUUAUUGGGCGUAAAGAGCUCGUAGGCGGCUUGUCGCGUCGGUUGUGAAAGCCCGGGGCUUAACCCCGGGUCUGCAGUCGAUACGGGCAGGCUAGAGUUCGGUAGGGGAGAUCGGAAUUCCUGGUGUAGCGGUGAAAUGCGCAGAUAUCAGGAGGAACACCGGUGGCGAAGGCGGAUCUCUGGGCCGAUACUGACGCUGAGGAGCGAAAGCGUGGGGAGCGAAC